GAUGAACGCUGGCGGCGUGCCUAGUACAUGCAAGUCGAGCGAACAGAUAAGGAGCUUGCUCCUUUGACGUUAGCGGCGGACGGGUGAGUAACACGUGGGUAACCUACCUAUAAGACUGGGAUAACUUCGGGAAACCGGAGCUAAUACCGGAUAAUAUUUCGAACCGCAUGGUUCGAUAGUGAAAGAUGGUUUUGCUAUCACUUAUAGAUGGACCCGCGCCGUAUUAGCUAGUUGGUAAGGUAACGGCUUACCAAGGCGACGAUACGUAGCCGACCUGAGAGGGUGAUCGGCCACACUGGAACUGAGACACGGUCCAGACUCCUACGGGAGGCAGCAGUAGGGAAUCUUCCGCAAUGGGCGAAAGCCUGACGGAGCAACGCCGCGUGAGUGAUGAAGGUCUUCGGAUCGUAAAACUCUGUUAUUAGGGAAGAACAUACGUGUAAGUAACUGUGCACGUCUUGACGGUACCUAAUCAGAAAGCCACGGCUAACUACGUG
RNAcentral lists this ribosomal RNA (497 nucleotides) under uncultured bacterium. RNAcentral's name for it is "partial 16S ribosomal RNA". It matches the Rfam family "Bacterial small subunit ribosomal RNA", at positions 28 to 507 of the family's 1533-position model. The record is from RNAcentral.